AGUGAACGCUGGCGGUAGGCCUAACACAUGCAAGUCGAACGGCAGCACAGUAAGAGCUUGCUCUUACGGGUGGCGAGUGGCGGACGGGUGAGGAAUACAUCGGAAUCUACUUUUUCGUGGGGGAUAACGUAGGGAAACUUACGCUAAUACCGCAUACGACCUACGGGUGAAAGCAGGGGAUCUUCGGACCUUGCGCGAUUGAAUGAGCCGAUGUCGGAUUAGCUAGUUGGCGGGGUAAAGGCCCACCAAGGCGACGAUCCGUAGCUGGUCUGAGAGGAUGAUCAGCCACACUGGAACUGAGACACGGUCCAGACUCCUACGGGAGGCAGCAGUGGGGAAUAUUGGACAAAGGGCGCAAGCCUGAUCCAGCCAUACCGCGUGGGUGAAGAAGGCCUUCGGGUUGUAAAGCCCUUAUGUUGGGAAAGAAAAGCAGCAGGUUAAUACCCCGCUGUUUUGACGGUACCCAAAGAAUAAGCACCGGCUAACUUCGUG
Molecule: ribosomal RNA, 492 nt
Filed under: uncultured bacterium
Lineage: Bacteria
Description: partial 16S ribosomal RNA
Rfam family: Bacterial small subunit ribosomal RNA
Source: RNAcentral